GACGAACGCUGGCGGCGUGCUUAACACAUGCAAGUCGAACGAUGAAGAAGAGCAACGCUAACUUCGUUUCAAGUUUCACUUCUGAUUAGUGGCAGACGGAUGUGUCACUCGUUAGCAACCUACCUCUUACAACUGGAUCUCCUCCGGGAACCGUGCUUAUUACCCUUUGACGCAUUCAUAAGGCAUCUUCAGAUUGUUAAAGCUACGGCGGUAAUCGAUUGGCUCGCGUCCGAUUAGCUAGGGGGUGCGGUAACGGCCCACCAAGGAGACGAUGGGUAACCGGGCGGGGAGGGGGAACGGUUACAAUGGAAAUGAGACACGGACCAAACUCCUACGGGAGGGAGCAGUGGGGAAUACUGUACAAUGGAGCGAACUGUGAUGCAGCGACGCGGCGGGAGAGAUGAAGGAAUUCGUAUCGUAAAGCUGUGUGCGAUGGGAAGAAAAGGACGGUAACAGAGGAGAAAGCACCGGCUAAAUACGUG
Molecule: ribosomal RNA, 482 nt
Filed under: uncultured bacterium
Lineage: Bacteria
Description: partial 16S ribosomal RNA
Rfam family: Bacterial small subunit ribosomal RNA
Source: RNAcentral